GACGAACGCUGGCGGCGUGCUUAACACACGCAAGUCGAGCGAGACCCCGCUUUCGGGUGGGUGUUCUAGCGGCGAACGGGUGAGUAACACGUGGGCAACCUGCCCUCAGCUCUGGGAUAACUCCAAGCAAUUGGGGCUAAUACCGGAUAUGACCGCUUACCGCAUGGUCUGGCGGUGGAAAGAUUUAUCGGCUGGGGAUGGGCCCGCGGCCUAUCAGCUUGUUGGUGGGGUAGUGGCCUACCAAGGCGACGACGGGUAGCCGGCCUGAGAGGGUGACCGGCCACACUGGGACUGAGACACGGCCCAGACUCCUACGGGAGGCAGCAGUGGGGAAUAUUGCGCAAUGGGCGAGAGCCUGACGCAGCGACGCCGCGUGGGGGAUGACGGCCUUCGGGUUGUAAACCUCUUUCAGCAGGGACGAAGCGAAAGUGACGGUACCUGCAGAAGAAGCACCGGCCAACUACGUGCCAGCCGCCGCCGUAA
RNAcentral lists this ribosomal RNA (483 nucleotides) under uncultured bacterium. RNAcentral describes it as "partial 16S ribosomal RNA". It matches the Rfam family "Bacterial small subunit ribosomal RNA", at positions 28 to 523 of the family's 1533-position model. The record is from RNAcentral.